Molecule: long non-coding RNA, 860 nt
Organism: Pomacea canaliculata
Lineage: Eukaryota; Metazoa; Mollusca; Gastropoda; Architaenioglossa; Ampullariidae
Exons: 3
Source: RefSeq, a predicted model, not a curated record
GGAAAGGGAAUAGGGUGGUGGAGACUCGAGGAGGGGUGGGCGAGGGGAGAUUGGUAAGCUGCAUGUAUCAAGCUGCCAAGUGUAAAAGGGUGAUAAAUGUCAUGAUGUAGUCUUUCUUCUUGAGGUUUAGGAAAAAACAGUGCAGGGGAAGAAAGCAUCUUGCUGAUCAACACUGAUGAGAAGGAGAGUGAAACUCAUGAUAAAUCUAAAGAACAGAUGUCCCACACCAAUUUCUUAGGCAUUAUUCAGUCACCUACAGAACAGCAGGGACUGACAGCAGAUUACCUUGGUAAUGUGGUCUCCAUUUAAUGGCUUUUGAUACCUGUUACUUGUUAAUGUCACAGUCUGGCAUUACAUUAAAUGUAGUGGUUCCAUUUAAGUUGGUAUGCAUCAGCAUCAUCAUUUCCUUUGUCUUUAUGAGUUCUGGCCACUGCUUAGGGGUGUUCCGGCUCAGUCUACAAGAGCCAUUUCAGCUGGAAUUAGUGAGCCAUUAAGAAUGUAAAGCAGCAGGAUUAUAUGUCGGGGUUGGGGGGGGGGGGUAGACAUGAGUCUUUAGUGGCAACAUGCAAAGUAUGGGAUCCAUCCUGGUGACACUAAAACAACUUUUGGCCAGCUGCCUGCUUUGCUAAGAUGGAAGACUCUAUGAUGCCCUAUUUAUUGUUUGCCAAUUCAUGGAUUAAAGUGGGUUGUUUUUUUUGCUCUGUGAGUUUAGCUUAUUCCUUGUUAGUCCUUGAUGAGCAUAGGGCCGCAACAACACCUUGCCAUCCGACUCGAUUUUGGGUAGCCCCCUUCAGUUGGGCCAGUGUGGUUCUGACGUCCUUUGCCUCGCUUUCUACUGUUCUUUUCCAAGUCUGCUUUGG